GACGAACGCUGGCGGCGUGCUUAACACAUGCAAGUCGAACGGAAAGGCCCUGCUUUUGUGGGGUGCUCGAGUGGCGAACGGGUGAGUAACACGUGAGUAACCUGCCCUUGACUUUGGGAUAACUUCAGGAAACUGGGGCUAAUACCGGAUAGGAGCUCCUGCUGCAUGGUGGGGGUUGGAAAGUUUCGGCGGUUGGGGAUGGACUCGCGGCUUAUCAGCUUGUUGGUGAGGUAGUGGCUUACCAAGGCUUAGACGGGUAGCCGGCCUGAGAGGGUGACCGGCCACAUUGGGACUGAGAUACGGCCCAGACUCCUACGGGAGGCAGAGGUGGGGAGUAUUGCACAAUGGGGGGAAGCCUGAUGCAGCAACGCCGCGUGCGGGAUGACGGCCUUCGGGUUGUAAACCGCUUUCGACUGUGACGAAGCGUGAGUGACGGUAAUGGGUAAAGAAGCACCGGCUAACUACGUG
Molecule: ribosomal RNA, 468 nt
Filed under: uncultured bacterium
Lineage: Bacteria
Description: partial 16S ribosomal RNA
Rfam family: Bacterial small subunit ribosomal RNA
Source: RNAcentral